CAAUAUUAUUCCUUGGGGAUGAUGUGAACAAAACACUCCAGUAUAAUUGACAAAAUAUCAACAGGAAAAGCGGAAAAAAAUUACGAAAGAUUAGAAAGUGCCAUCUAUGCAUGUUAGGUAAUGUAAUUACGUCAAGGAAAACAAUUUGGGAGAUUAUGGAAUCAUCGUUCUUCUAAGAUAUCGAGAGGGAAGUGAUGCAGCUUAGAGUUGGUCAUUAAAGCAACUUUGACCAUAUUAAAAUGUGCUAGUCUGGCUGAUUGUGUUCACAUGGAUUCAUCUUAUUUAAUAAAGUGUAAUUCUAUCAUCAAAUAAAUGGUUCAGGAAGGGAGAUACCUUUCUCUCUAACAUAUUAUAACCUUCCAUUGAAUAAGAAAGCAUAGAGAUUCAAAUAGUUCAUCUUAAUAAGAAGCAUAUAAUAAAACAAAUAUUAACUUACAAUAGGGCAAUUGACUUCUCUCA
Molecule: long non-coding RNA, 459 nt
Filed under: Arachis ipaensis
Lineage: Eukaryota; Viridiplantae; Streptophyta; Magnoliopsida; Fabales; Fabaceae
Description: long non-coding RNA (AIPA_LNC002632)
Source: RNAcentral